CCAAAACAACAAAAGCCCUACCUCUCUCUUGUCCUUGCGGCUCCAAUGACCGCGCCAGUGUGAAUCAGAAUUACUCCAA
This 79-nucleotide small RNA is filed under the name Paenibacillus tuaregi. Its description in RNAcentral is "BsrC". It matches the Rfam family "BsrC", at positions 8 to 83 of the family's 87-position model. Rfam says of the family: The 301 nucleotide sequence from Kouji Nakamura has been trimmed to a highly conserved ~85 nucleotide long core to form this family. Lineage: Bacteria; Bacillati; Bacillota; Bacilli; Caryophanales; Paenibacillaceae. The record is from RNAcentral.